AGGCGCAACAUGUUCCAUUGUA
RNAcentral lists this non-coding RNA (22 nucleotides) under Arabidopsis thaliana (thale cress). The record is from RNAcentral. Lineage: Eukaryota; Viridiplantae; Streptophyta; Magnoliopsida; Brassicales; Brassicaceae.